RNAcentral lists this transfer RNA (66 nucleotides) under Phloeosinus perlatus. Its description in RNAcentral is "tRNA-Val". The record is from RNAcentral. Lineage: Eukaryota; Metazoa; Arthropoda; Insecta; Coleoptera; Curculionidae.
AGUUAAAGCUUUUAUAGAAGCAUUUUAUUUACAUUAAAAGGAUUACUUAAUUUGUAUGACUUGAUU